This 1542-nucleotide ribosomal RNA is filed under the name Salmonella enterica. RNAcentral describes it as "bacterial SSU rRNA". It matches the Rfam family "Bacterial small subunit ribosomal RNA". Lineage: Bacteria; Pseudomonadati; Pseudomonadota; Gammaproteobacteria; Enterobacterales; Enterobacteriaceae. RNAcentral also lists the same sequence under 2 other names. The record is from RNAcentral.
AAAUUGAAGAGUUUGAUCAUGGCUCAGAUUGAACGCUGGCGGCAGGCCUAACACAUGCAAGUCGAACGGUAACAGGAAGCAGCUUGCUGCUUCGCUGACGAGUGGCGGACGGGUGAGUAAUGUCUGGGAAACUGCCUGAUGGAGGGGGAUAACUACUGGAAACGGUGGCUAAUACCGCAUAAUGUCGCAAGACCAAAGAGGGGGACCUUCGGGCCUCUUGCCAUCAGAUGUGCCCAGAUGGGAUUAGCUUGUUGGUGAGGUAACGGCUCACCAAGGCGACGAUCCCUAGCUGGUCUGAGAGGAUGACCAGCCACACUGGAACUGAGACACGGUCCAGACUCCUACGGGAGGCAGCAGUGGGGAAUAUUGCACAAUGGGCGCAAGCCUGAUGCAGCCAUGCCGCGUGUAUGAAGAAGGCCUUCGGGUUGUAAAGUACUUUCAGCGGGGAGGAAGGUGUUGUGGUUAAUAACCGCAGCAAUUGACGUUACCCGCAGAAGAAGCACCGGCUAACUCCGUGCCAGCAGCCGCGGUAAUACGGAGGGUGCAAGCGUUAAUCGGAAUUACUGGGCGUAAAGCGCACGCAGGCGGUCUGUCAAGUCGGAUGUGAAAUCCCCGGGCUCAACCUGGGAACUGCAUUCGAAACUGGCAGGCUUGAGUCUUGUAGAGGGGGGUAGAAUUCCAGGUGUAGCGGUGAAAUGCGUAGAGAUCUGGAGGAAUACCGGUGGCGAAGGCGGCCCCCUGGACAAAGACUGACGCUCAGGUGCGAAAGCGUGGGGAGCAAACAGGAUUAGAUACCCUGGUAGUCCACGCCGUAAACGAUGUCUACUUGGAGGUUGUGCCCUUGAGGCGUGGCUUCCGGAGCUAACGCGUUAAGUAGACCGCCUGGGGAGUACGGCCGCAAGGUUAAAACUCAAAUGAAUUGACGGGGGCCCGCACAAGCGGUGGAGCAUGUGGUUUAAUUCGAUGCAACGCGAAGAACCUUACCUGGUCUUGACAUCCACAGAACUUUCCAGAGAUGGAUUGGUGCCUUCGGGAACUGUGAGACAGGUGCUGCAUGGCUGUCGUCAGCUCGUGUUGUGAAAUGUUGGGUUAAGUCCCGCAACGAGCGCAACCCUUAUCCUUUGUUGCCAGCGGUCCGGCCGGGAACUCAAAGGAGACUGCCAGUGAUAAACUGGAGGAAGGUGGGGAUGACGUCAAGUCAUCAUGGCCCUUACGACCAGGGCUACACACGUGCUACAAUGGCGCAUACAAAGAGAAGCGACCUCGCGAGAGCAAGCGGACCUCAUAAAGUGCGUCGUAGUCCGGAUUGGAGUCUGCAACUCGACUCCAUGAAGUCGGAAUCGCUAGUAAUCGUGGAUCAGAAUGCCACGGUGAAUACGUUCCCGGGCCUUGUACACACCGCCCGUCACACCAUGGGAGUGGGUUGCAAAAGAAGUAGGUAGCUUAACCUUCGGGAGGGCGCUUACCACUUUGUGAUUCAUGACUGGGGUGAAGUCGUAACAAGGUAACCGUAGGGGAACCUGCGGUUGGAUCACCUCCUUA